This 230-nucleotide long non-coding RNA is filed under the name Elaeis guineensis (African oil palm). Its description in RNAcentral is "long non-coding RNA (EGUI_LNC003336)". The record is from RNAcentral. Lineage: Eukaryota; Viridiplantae; Streptophyta; Magnoliopsida; Arecales; Arecaceae.
CUCCGUCCUCCACUUCUCAUCCAUUUUUUCUUCUCAUCUUUCUCUAAGCCGCCCAUGAGCCAUCCUUUCUCCCCUCCUCCCCUUCAUCCUUACCCACUUCUCCUCCUCAUCCUCUUCUUCCUCCAAACUGCCUAUGAGCCAUCCCCUCUCUUUGCUUCCCUUCUUCCUCAUCCUCCUCCUCCUCCUCCAAACUGCCCAUGAGCCAUCCCCUCUCUCCUCCAAGCCGCCUA